AGGAUGAACGCUGGCGGCGUGCCUAAUACAUGCAAGUCGAACGAGGUGCUUUUGUAGCAAUACGAGAGUAUCCUAGUGGCGAACGGGUGAGUAACGCGUUGGUGACCUACCCAAAGUGUGGAAUAACAGUCCGAAAGGAUUGCUAAUACCGCAUGUGGUUAUCGGGCUUAGAAACUGAUAACUAAAGGAGCAACUCGCUUUGGGAGGGACCUGCGUCCCAUCAGCUAGUUGGUGAGGUAACGGCUCACCAAGGCUACGACGGGUAGGGACCUGAGAGGGUGACCCCACAAUGGAACUGAAACACGGUCCAUACACCUACGGGUGCAGCAGUAGGGAAUAUGCAACAAUGGGCGAAAGCCUGAUGGCAGCAAACGCCGCGUGUGCGAUGAAGGCCUUGGGUCGUAAAGCAACUUUCUUGAGAGAUAGAGAAAGGACAAGUAUCUCAGGAAAUAAGUCUCGGCUAAACCUACGUCGCCGAAGCAGCCGC
Molecule: ribosomal RNA, 487 nt
Filed under: uncultured soil bacterium
Lineage: Bacteria
Description: bacterial SSU rRNA
Rfam family: Bacterial small subunit ribosomal RNA
Source: RNAcentral